GACGAACGUUGGCGGCGUGCUUAAUACAUGCAAGUCAACUGAAGCACCGGUAGUAAUACUGGUGUGGAGGUGGCGCACGGGUGAGUAACACGUAGGUAAUCUGCCUUCAGGUCUGACAUAACCCCGAGAAAUCGGGGCUAAUAGCAGAUGAUGCAGCGGCUUGACAUCAAAGACAGUUGUUAAAGCUUCGGCGCCUGAAGAUGAGCCUGCGUCUGAUUAGCUAGUUGGCGGAGUAAUAGCCCACCAAGGCGACGAUCAGUAGCUGGUCUGAGAGGAUGAUCAGCCACACUGGAACUGAGACACGGUCCAGACUCCUACGGGAGGCAGCAGUAAGGAAUAUUGCUCAAUGGGAGAAAUCCUGAAGCAGCAACGCCGCGUGAGGAUGAAGGG
This 390-nucleotide ribosomal RNA is filed under the name uncultured bacterium. RNAcentral's name for it is "bacterial SSU rRNA". It matches the Rfam family "Bacterial small subunit ribosomal RNA", at positions 28 to 415 of the family's 1533-position model. The record is from RNAcentral.